Wyeomyia smithii (pitcher-plant mosquito) is the source of this 1438-nucleotide long non-coding RNA. RefSeq lists it as uncharacterized. The record is from RefSeq and is a predicted model, not a curated record. Lineage: Eukaryota; Metazoa; Arthropoda; Insecta; Diptera; Culicidae. The transcript has 3 exons.
GACUGCGUGUAUAUCGGACGUGUUCGGCUUUUUAUUUUAUCACUAAGUCAUAGACUACUAUGCCAUAAUUUUCGUGCGCCGUGUGGCAGCACCUUGAGUCUUAGUCUUAUGACUAUCAUUGAUGAUACUUCUCCAGCAUGACGAUGGGACUGACUUGCGGUUACCGGCAGUUUACUUCCUAAUGAAGAGUAAAAGUUACAUCGCGUACACUAGUGUAUCCACUCCGAAAUAAGUUCUCCCUUCCCGCUUUUUGCAUGGAAGUGAACUGUCAAAACACCUCAUUAUAUUUCAUGCGAUGGAAGCAAGACAACGAAAUCAGUUUAUCAGUUAACGAAGAUUGUCAUCGGUCAGUGUCAGUGAAAAAGUGUUUCGGUGAGGUUCAUUUUGGUUGAGUGGACUGUUUGUUUUUCUUUUUCGCUUUGAAGUGAAGAUCAUUUGGUUGGAUUUGUCGUCAAAUUUUAUUCCGUAACCGUGAACGAUGCGCGCGAUCUAUUUCAUCUGAGUAUAACAGCACGUUACUUGGACGAAAAUCUAGUGUAUCUGAAAGAGUGCUGCGAUCAUUGGAAGCGAAAAUUGAAAAUGAUUGGCUGUAAUUUUCGAAGAAUUUUGCUGGGGAAAAUGGUUUUUAUCAGCACUGAUCAGUAGACACAGAAAUAUAUUAGAUGUUUAUUCAAAUUAACUUUCUGAUUUAUUUAACUAAACAUAUUCAAAAAUGAAGUGUGGUUUAACUUUUAAGAAGAAACAAACAAAUGAAAAGGAAAGUGUUUAGCGAGAUAUAAUAUUUCUCUUUUGUCUAAUCAUUGUUACUAGUCUAAAAUUAUAGCCGAUGCUGAGUAUGUUAUAUUGUUCCAAUGGCAUUUUUAGUAGAGCUUUAAUCUGUUGUAAAUCCGGUUUUGGCAGUAUACCCAUUUCUUCCAAGACAUUACCGAAAUAUUCUGAAAUAGAAAAAAAAACAUCAAAAUAUUGUUCUAGGAUAAAAAUAACCAUAAUAAAAAUUAGAAUAUUGUACAACAACAGUAAUAAAACAAUAUAGACAAGAGUUGAAUACAUAAAGUCUGAAUAGACGCAGUGCCGCAAUGUCGAAUAUCUAACCUAGGAUGGGAUAUUGUUUCUUGAAUAUAACAAUCAAUGAUUUGCUCAAAACGACUUCCAUACCCGCCGCCUUUGAACUGUAGUAGCAGUCCAGUAGGUUGCCAAUCAUCAUGUGAAAAAAGUGACCAGAAAAUUUAAAAAAAAACCCUGUUCACUUGCCCGAAAAAACACCUUGUGCAAAAUUUCAGCUCAAAUGGACUUAAAAUGGGGUGGUUCUAAGCGAUUGAAGUUUGGCCUUUUUGAAAUCCGAAAAAUCCGGGUUCCCCAACCCCAAGUAGUGGGUACGUGAAGUUGUUUUCCAAAAAAAAAUGUUUUGAUACCAAAUGACCUAAAAAUUUAUGAAACA